AACGAACGCUGGCGGCAUGCCUAACACAUGCAAGUCGAACGAGACCUUCGGGUCUAGUGGCGCACGGGUGCGUAACACGUGGGAAUCUGCCCUUUGCUUCGGAAUAACAGUUAGAAAUGACUGCUAAUACCGGAUGAUGUCGAAAGACCAAAGAUUUAUCGGCAAAGGAUGAGCCCGCGUAGGAUUAGGUAGUUGGUGGGGUAAAGGCCUACCAAGCCGACGAUCCUUAGCUGGUCUGAGAGGAUGAUCAGCCACACUGGGACUGAGACACGGCCCAGACUCCUACGGGAGGCAGCAGUGGGGAAUAUUGGACAAUGGGCGAAAGCCUGAUCCAGCAAUGCCGCGUGAGUGAUGAAGGCCUUAGGGUUGUAAAGCUCUUUUAACAGGGAUGAUAAUGACAGUACCUGGAGAAUAAGCUCCGGCUAACUCCGUG
RNAcentral lists this ribosomal RNA (433 nucleotides) under uncultured bacterium. RNAcentral's name for it is "partial 16S ribosomal RNA". It matches the Rfam family "Bacterial small subunit ribosomal RNA", at positions 29 to 507 of the family's 1533-position model. The record is from RNAcentral.